GACGAAGGUGGCAAGCGUUGUUCGGAAUCACUGGGCUUAAAGAGCACGUAGGCGGCCGGUCAAGUGUCCUGUGAAAUCCCUCGGCUCAACCGAGGAAUUGCAGGGCAAACUGAUUGGCUUGAGGCAGGUAGGGGCGUGUGGAACUCUUGGUGGAGCGGUGAAAUGCGUAGAUAUCAAGAGGAACGCCGGAGGCGAAAGCGACGCGCUGGGCCUGUCCUGACGCUGAGGUGCGAAAGCCAGGGGAGCGAACGGGAUUAGAUACCCCCGUA
This 269-nucleotide ribosomal RNA is filed under the name uncultured prokaryote. Its description in RNAcentral is "partial 16S ribosomal RNA". It matches the Rfam family "Bacterial small subunit ribosomal RNA", at positions 524 to 792 of the family's 1533-position model. The record is from RNAcentral.